Molecule: ribosomal RNA, 328 nt
Filed under: Achaeta unibulba
Lineage: Eukaryota; Metazoa; Annelida; Clitellata; Enchytraeida; Enchytraeidae
Description: eukaryotic LSU rRNA
Rfam family: Eukaryotic large subunit ribosomal RNA
Source: RNAcentral
AUUAAUAAGCGGAGGAAAAGAAACUAACAAGGAUUCCCUUAGUAACGGCGAGUGAAGCGGGAAGAGCCCAGCACCGAAUCCUCCGUCACCUAGGCGCAGGAACUGUGGUGUUCGGGACAGCCCAUGCGGAUCGGUUGGCCGUCCGAGUCCUCCUGAUCGGGGCUUCACCCAGAGCGGGUGUCAGGCCUCUACGGCAGCCGACCGGUUCUCUAGGGUCGUCCUAGGAGUCGGGUUGUUUGAGAUUGCAGCCCUAAGCGGGUCGUAAACUCGACCUAAGGCUAAAUACAGACACGAGUCCGAUAGCGCACAAGUACCGUGAGGGAAAGUU